UGGUGGCUCUAUGAUCCAUGAUAGGCACGCGCACCAAACGUCAUGGAGUGCAUGAACGGCGUCGGACUCUGGCACCUGUCCGUCCGCAUCACGCAGCGCCCGUCUUAUUCCCGGAUGGGAAGCCCAAGACGCGCAGCCGACCUCAUUGUCCGGCAAGCAUGCAGCAUGUCCAACGGACCGACCGCUGGAGCCGUACUGUAGCUUACGCUGCCGUAGAAGACGAGUGCCGGCCGAUUGAUUCAUCAGUGGC
Long non-coding RNA from Syngnathus acus (greater pipefish), 250 nucleotides. RefSeq lists it as uncharacterized. Lineage: Eukaryota; Metazoa; Chordata; Actinopteri; Syngnathiformes; Syngnathidae. The record is from RefSeq and is a predicted model, not a curated record. The transcript has 3 exons.